RNAcentral lists this ribosomal RNA (202 nucleotides) under uncultured bacterium. RNAcentral describes it as "partial 16S ribosomal RNA". It matches the Rfam family "Bacterial small subunit ribosomal RNA", at positions 1300 to 1500 of the family's 1533-position model. The record is from RNAcentral.
GCAGGCUGAAAUUACGCCUGUAUGAAGCCGGAAUUGCUAGUAAUGGCAGGUCAGCAUACUGCCGUGAAUACGUUCCCGGGCCUUGUACACACCGCCCGUCACACCAUGAGAGUUGGGGAUACCCAAAGCCCGUGAGCCAACUAUAAAGAGGCAGCGGUCUAAGGUAGAAUCAAUGAUUGGGGUGAAGUCGUAACAAGGUAGC